GCAAGUGGAGCGACGAACCAGGCUUCGGCCUGGGGCAAAGCCGCGAACGGGUGAGUAACACGUGGGUAACCUGCCCUGAUGAUUGGGACAACCCGAGGAAACUCGGGCUAAUACCGAAUGUGCCCUCCGACCAUAAGGUCGCUGGGGAAAGGAAGCUUCGGCCUCCGCAUCGGGAUGGGCCCGCGGCGCAUUAGCUUGUUGGUGAGGUAACGGCUCACCAAGGCGACGAUGCGUAGCUGGUCUGAGAGGACGAUCAGCCACACUGGGACUGAGACACGGCCCAGACUCCUACGGGAGGCAGCAGUGGGGAAUCUUGCGCAAUGCGCGAAAGCGUGACGCAGCAACGCCGCGUGGGGGAAGAAGGCCUUCGGGUUGUAAACCCCUUUCAGUUGGGACGAAGCUUCGCCGGUGAAUAGCCGGCCGGAGUGACGGUACCUUCAGAAGAAGCCCCGGCUAACUACGUGCCAGCAGCCGCGGUAAUACGUAGGGGGCAAGCGUUGUCCGGAAUCAUUGGGCGUAAAGAGCGUGUACGCGGCUUGGUAAGUCCGCUGU
This 552-nucleotide ribosomal RNA is filed under the name uncultured bacterium. Its description in RNAcentral is "bacterial SSU rRNA". It matches the Rfam family "Bacterial small subunit ribosomal RNA", at positions 57 to 595 of the family's 1533-position model. The record is from RNAcentral.